Cotesia glomerata is the source of this 1340-nucleotide RNA transcript. It is a transcript of the gene named tropomyosin-1, with no coding region annotated. The transcript has 8 exons. NCBI's taxonomy places the organism in Eukaryota, Metazoa, Arthropoda, Insecta, Hymenoptera, Braconidae. The record is from RefSeq and is a predicted model, not a curated record.
AAGAGGAAGAGGCGCUGAAGAAAACCUAAGUUCCAGUUCGCCAUUUUUGGCUACCCCCACCGUCUCAAGAAUGUACAAGCUUUUUGAAAGCAGCUUUGCUGUAACUUUGAGCUUUUUAAACGACAUUCGUCGCGCGUCGCUCACUCGGGAGGGUAGCAAAUUAUCAAAUUUAGCGAGAAAAGUAAAGAAAAAAAGCCGGCAUCAUGGACGCGAUCAAGAAGAAGAUGCAAGCGAUGAAGCUUGAGAAAGACAAUGCACAGGACAAAGCUGAUACCUGUGAAGGACAGGCCAAGGAGGCAAACCUCCGUGCCGACAAAGUUAUGGAGGAGGUUAAUGAGCUGACUAAAAAAUUAGCUCAAGUAGAAUCUGAUCUUACAACCAACAAGGGAAAUUUGGAGAGGGGAAACAAAGAUCUUGAAGAGAAAGAAAAAGCACUCACUAAUGCUGAAGCUGAAGUAGCAGCUUUGAAUAGAAAAGUACAGUUGAUUGAAGAAGAUUUGGAACGGUCUGAAGAACGUCUUAACACCGCUUCUGCUAAAUUGACGGAAGCUUCUCAAGCCGCUGAUGAAUCUAGCCGUAUGUGCAAAGUAUUGGAAAACCGUGCCCAGCAAGAUGAAGAGAGAAUGGAUCAAUUGACAAAUCAAUUAAAAGAAGCGCGUUUACUAGCUGAAGAUGCUGAUGGUAAAUCUGAUGAAGUUUCCCGUAAGCUCGCGUUUGUUGAAGACGAACUUGAGGUUGCUGAGGACCGUGUCAAAUCUGGUGAAGCAAAAAUUAUGGAGUUGGAAGAAGAACUUAAAGUCGUCGGAAACAGUUUGAAAUCACUCGAAGUCUCUGAAGAGAAGGCUAAUCAAAGAGUUGAAGAAUUCAAACGUCAACUGAAAACUUUGACGGUUAAACUAAAAGAAGCUGAAGCUCGUGCCGAAUUCGCAGAAAAGACUGUCAAGAAAUUGCAGAAAGAAGUCGAUAGGCUCGAAGACGACUUGAUACACCAAAAGGAAAAGCACAAAGCUAUUGUUGAUGAUUUGGAUUCUACAUACGCUGAGCUUACGGCCUAUUAAAUUAAUCACAUUUACAAGCACAGUUACACUAACUUACAUUUAGAUAUUUAAAAGUUUGAAAAUUUUAAAUAUUUAUUUUUAAACGUUUUGAAAAUUAAUAAAAUCAAACAUUAUUGAUAUUUUGUGUGGAAAAAUUAGUACACUGACGAUAAAAGGCUUAAGCUUGGCGUAAAAUAUCUCAAGACGAACUUGGAAUCAACAAGGACAGAUACAAGUCAUUGGCUGACGAGAUGGACUCGACAUUCGCCGAGUUGGCUGGAUACUAAUGAAAAUUCAGGAAAU